CGGUAACCUACCAUCAGAGGGGAUAACACUUGGAAACAGGUGCUAAUACCGCAUAACAGUUUAUGCCGCAUGGCAUAAGAGUGAAAGGCGCUUUCGGGUGUCGCUGAUGGAUGGACCCGCGGUGCAUUAGCUAGUUGGUGAGGUAACGGCUCACCAAGGCCACGAUGCAUAGCCGACCUGAGAGGGUGAUCGGCCACACUGGGACUGAGACACGGCCCAG
Molecule: ribosomal RNA, 220 nt
Filed under: uncultured bacterium
Lineage: Bacteria
Description: partial 16S ribosomal RNA
Rfam family: Bacterial small subunit ribosomal RNA
Source: RNAcentral